AUACUUACCUGUCAAGAAGUAUGCUGAUUGUGAACAUAGAUAUCACAGAGAUAUGUUUAUCCCUUGUACUCCAGAUGUGGUAACACCUGCAAUUUCCCCAAACGUGAAAAGCUGAACUGCAUAAUUCAUGGCAGCAGAGUGACUACAUUCCAACUCUGC
Small nuclear RNA from Microtus ochrogaster (prairie vole), 159 nucleotides. Its record names the gene U1. It matches the Rfam family "U1 spliceosomal RNA". From Rfam's summary of the family: U1 is a small nuclear RNA (snRNA) component of the spliceosome (involved in pre-mRNA splicing). Its 5' end forms complementary base pairs with the 5' splice junction, thus defining the 5' donor site of an intron. The record is from Ensembl. Lineage: Eukaryota; Metazoa; Chordata; Mammalia; Rodentia; Cricetidae.